This 674-nucleotide small RNA is filed under the name Pan troglodytes (chimpanzee). Its description in RNAcentral is "retained intron". Lineage: Eukaryota; Metazoa; Chordata; Mammalia; Primates; Hominidae. The record is from RNAcentral.
GGAAGCCUGAGCCCUGGAUGUCAGGGUGUAAAGCAGGAGGCUCCGACCGGAGAGAAAAUCAGGGAGAGUUGAAGAGGGGCUGAGGCAAGAUAUCGCUGACCUUUUCCCCAACUGCAGGAAAAAGCAGAUCUUGGGGAGCUCAACUUCUCACUCUGCUACCUCCCCACGGCCGGGCGCCUCACCGUGACCAUCAUCAAAGCCUCUAACCUCAAAGCGAUGGACCUCACUGGCUUCUCAGACCCCUACGUGAAGGCCUCCCUGAUCAGCGAGGGGCGGCGUCUGAAGAAGCGGAAAACCUCCAUCAAGAAGAACACGCUGAACCCCACCUAUAAUGAGGCGCUGGUGUUCGAUGUGGCCCCCGAGAGCGUGGAGAACGUGGGGCUCAGCAUCGCCGUGGUGGACUACGACUGCAUCGGGCACAACGAGGUGAUCGGCGUGUGCCGCGUGGGCCCCGACGCUGCCGACCCGCACGGCCGCGAGCACUGGGCAGAGAUGCUGGCCAAUCCCCGCAAGCCCGUGGAGCACUGGCAUCAGCUAGUGGAGGAAAAGACUUUGACCAGCUUCACAAAAGGCAGCAAAGGACUAUCAGAGAAAGAGAACUCCGAGUGAGGGGUCUGGCCUAGGCCCGGGAUUGGACCAGGCUCCCUCAGGACCCCAUCCUUUCCUGCCCGGAC